Molecule: long non-coding RNA, 475 nt
Organism: Bicyclus anynana (squinting bush brown)
Lineage: Eukaryota; Metazoa; Arthropoda; Insecta; Lepidoptera; Nymphalidae
Exons: 2
Source: RefSeq, a predicted model, not a curated record
GAACUAACGUCUGUUAAAGCACGGUCGCGUCACUAAUUCGCGCGACCGACGCUGCCGUCUGCAGUUUUUAUACUCAAUUACCAAAUACUGCUAAUUCCAAUAUAUUAUAAUAUUGUGCUAAAUCGUUCCCGCUAUAGGGAGCGGAGUUAGUACUUCAAGAACAAAAUUGUUGGGCGCGAGGUUGCCUGUUUUGGCGAGCUGCGCGACGUGCCUUCACUGAGAACCCUAAUUGUCGUGACUCCCUCCUGCCUGCCGCUGCCCCUGGUGGACAAGUUCGUCGUCGCGUUCUCGUUGCUGCCGCCGUGGAUUGCAGGGGAGUGCGGGCAUUAAUGGACAGAAGUGAAAUAUAUUAUUAAGGCCUGUACCCACGUUAUAUAAAUUUGUGCCCGCCGGUUGAUUUAUUUUAAUAUACUUGUUAAUAAUAAUUAUUUACUUACUUUUCAUUAUUAAUAUUAGUACCUACCUACUCAAAUAA